Molecule: long non-coding RNA, 934 nt
Organism: Galeopterus variegatus (Sunda flying lemur)
Lineage: Eukaryota; Metazoa; Chordata; Mammalia; Dermoptera; Cynocephalidae
Exons: 2
Source: RefSeq, a predicted model, not a curated record
CCAGGAUCCCACCGAAGAGAUGGUGUCGAAGGACGGGGACCACCACAGGCGACGCGGAAGACCCGAGGCCCCAAGGUGCGCCGCAAGGAAAGGUGUCGGUCCAAGGCUCCAGCUCUUCCUAAAAAUCUUCCGUUGCUGUCCGCCGCCAGCCGCUGGCAGUGGCAGAGGACCGGCGUGAAGGCGGCCCCUCGGGCUGUGUGGCUACUGGAGCUCCGGGCCACAGCUCAGUGGUGCAACGCAAAGUCGGCGUGGGGCUGAGCCCAGUGCCCUCAGCGCCUAACCAGACGGAAGGUGGCGCGGCGCCGCUGCAAGGGGUCCUUUACCCAAGGGAUGUCCUUGGAUCCUUGUUCGAAUCACCGGCCUCCUCGCUGAGCCUCCGUUUACUCCUGUAUGCAACCCAGGCGGAACCAGCUAUAUCUACUUCACAAGGGUGCGGAGAAGAUGGAAUGAAACGCCUGCUCCCUGUCUCUCUCUUAUUUUUCUCUACGCCUAGCCAUAGAGCUGCGCUCACAAUCCGGGAUUCAAAACUAUCACUGACCCCACUUCUUUUCAUAUAUUAGCUCACGUAUUAGCUCAGUUAAAUCCUCAAAACGAUCCCAUUAAGCAGAUAAUACUCGUAUUCUGUGUUUCAUAUGAGAAAACAGGCAAGCCAAGUCGUGUAUGUUGCUGCCUAAGAGCCGCACUAGGCAGGCAUGUGAACCCAGGCAAUCUAGUUUCUGAAUCCAUACGCUUUACCAUGCCAUUACACUGUUAAAGUAGCAGGCUACCAUCCAUUCUUUUUUUCUGGUUGCUGAGAGGAAGCAGUCAAUGUGAUUGUCGUUUCAGCAAUGCUUCCUAUCCUUUUUUUCAAGUAUAGUAGAGUCUCGUCUCCUUUCUUGUCUCCUAAAACAAGUGUGUAACAAACUUUUGUCAAUAAUAAAGCAUAUUUUACUCA